Molecule: long non-coding RNA, 247 nt
Organism: Culex quinquefasciatus (southern house mosquito)
Lineage: Eukaryota; Metazoa; Arthropoda; Insecta; Diptera; Culicidae
Exons: 3
Source: RefSeq, a predicted model, not a curated record
AACUCCAGAUUUCACGGUGGCCUCACUACUAUUUUGGGCCGGUCUGGACGAAAGGAUCUCCAAAACCCCACCCCGACCAAGCUUUGUGUAAGCAAUCCGGACUUGGGACACUGUCUGACACGAAAUCCUCCUGAAGAAGACUCAAACCAGAGAGUCGAAACGUCGAGUAAUUUUGAAAAAACGGUGUUUCAUUUGCCCCGACUGUCACAGCCAACAAAAAGCAGAACCAGAAUCUACAGUCGUUAAA